AGAUGCUUUGGUGCCUUGGGAACCCUGAGACAGGUGCUGCAUGGCUGUCGUCAGCUCGUGUUGUGGAAAAUGUUGGGUUAAGUCCCGCAACGAGCGCAACCCUUAUCCUUUGUUGCCAGCGGUCCGGCCGGGAACUCAAAGGAGACUGCCAGUGAUAAACUGGAGGAAGGUGGGGAUGACGUCAAGUCAUCAUGGCCCUUACGAGUAGGGCUACACACGUGCUACAAUGGCGCAUACAAAGAGAAGCGACCUCGCGAGAGCAAGCGGACCUCAUAAAGUGCGUCGUAGUCCGGAUUGGAGUCUGCAACUCGACUCCAUGAAGUCGGAAUCGCUAGUAAUCGUGGAUCAGAAUGCCACGGUGAAUACGUUCCCGGGCCUUGUACACACCGCCCGUCACACCAUGGGAGUGGGUUGCAAAAGAAGUAGGUAGCUUAACCUUCGGGAGGGCGCUUACCACUUUGUGAUUCAUGACUGGGGUGAAGUCGUAACAAGGUAAGCGUAGUGCU
This 506-nucleotide ribosomal RNA is filed under the name uncultured bacterium. Its description in RNAcentral is "bacterial SSU rRNA". It matches the Rfam family "Bacterial small subunit ribosomal RNA", at positions 1004 to 1509 of the family's 1533-position model. The record is from RNAcentral.